This 77-nucleotide transfer RNA is filed under the name Homo sapiens (human). RNAcentral describes it as "tRNA-Pro-TGG-5-1". The record is from RNAcentral. Lineage: Eukaryota; Metazoa; Chordata; Mammalia; Primates; Hominidae.
GCCAGGAGAGCUCAGUGGUGAUGGGAUGAGAUCUGGACUCACACCUCUAGGCCUGGGUUCAAAUCCCAGGUCUAGCG